Molecule: ribosomal RNA, 253 nt
Filed under: uncultured bacterium
Lineage: Bacteria
Description: partial 16S ribosomal RNA
Rfam family: Bacterial small subunit ribosomal RNA
Source: RNAcentral
UACGUGGGGGGCAAGCGUUGUUCGGAAUUAUUGGGCGUAAAGCGCGCGUAGGCGGCGCCACAAGUCACUUGUGAAAACUCUGGGCUUAACUCAGAGCCUGCAAGCGAAACUGUGGUGCUGGAGUAUGGGAGAGGUGCGUGGAAUUCCCGGUGUAGCAGUGAAAUGCGUAGAGAUCGGGAGGAACACCUGUGGCGAAAGCGGCGCACUGGACCAUAACUGACGCUGAGGCGCGAAAGCGAGGGGAGCAAACAGG